RNAcentral lists this small RNA (159 nucleotides) under Salmonella enterica subsp. enterica serovar Typhimurium str. SL1344. RNAcentral's name for it is "STnc2090". RNAcentral also lists the same sequence under 1 other name. Lineage: Bacteria; Pseudomonadati; Pseudomonadota; Gammaproteobacteria; Enterobacterales; Enterobacteriaceae. The record is from RNAcentral.
GAAUUGAUCAACAAGCUGGAACGGCAGCUCAAUAAAGUGCAGCACAAAGGCGAAGCCCGUCGUGCCACCGCAUCGGUGAAAGAUGCCAGCUUCGUCGAAGCAGAAGAAGAGUAGUCCCUUACAUUGAGUGUAUCGCCAACGCGCCUUCGGGCGCGUUUU